AACAGCGUAAUAUUCUUUUAUAGAUCUUAUACAAAAGGAUGAUUGCGACCUCGAUGUUG
This 59-nucleotide transfer RNA is filed under the name Araneae sp. MT-2014. RNAcentral's name for it is "tRNA-Cys". The record is from RNAcentral. Lineage: Eukaryota; Metazoa; Arthropoda; Arachnida; Araneae.